UCGAGUUUUGAAACGAGUUGUUGCUGGCCUUCAAUCGAGGCAUGUGCACGCUUGGCUCAUCCACUCUUCAACCUCUGUGCACUUAUUGUAGGUCGGUGAAAGGCUUUGCGCUUCGGUGCUCAGCUGGAAGCCUUCCUAUGUUUUACUACAAACGAUUCAGUUAUAGAAUGUCUCUUGCGUAUAACGCAUCUAUAUA
This 196-nucleotide unclassified non-coding RNA is filed under the name uncultured fungus. RNAcentral describes it as "sequence contains ITS1, 5.8S rRNA gene". Lineage: Eukaryota; Fungi. The record is from RNAcentral. RNAcentral also lists the same sequence under 1 other name.